RNAcentral lists this ribosomal RNA (301 nucleotides) under uncultured bacterium. Its description in RNAcentral is "partial 16S ribosomal RNA". It matches the Rfam family "Bacterial small subunit ribosomal RNA", at positions 509 to 807 of the family's 1533-position model. The record is from RNAcentral.
CAGUCGCCACGGUAAUACGUAGGGUGCAAGCGUUAAUCGGAAUUACUGGGCGUAAAGCGUGCGCAGGCGGUUUUGUAAGACAGAGGUGAAAUCCCCGGGCUCAACCUGGGAACUGCCUUUGUGACUGCAAGGCUAGAGUACGGCAGAGGGGGAUGGAAUUCCGCGUGUAGCAGUGAAAUACGUAGAUAUGCGGAGGAACACCGAUGGCGAAGGCAAUCCCCUGGGCCUGUACUGACGCUCAUGCACGAAAGCGUGGGGAGCAAACAGGAUUAGAUACCCCAGUAGUCCCUGUCUCUUAUAC